This 468-nucleotide ribosomal RNA is filed under the name uncultured bacterium. Its description in RNAcentral is "partial 16S ribosomal RNA". It matches the Rfam family "Bacterial small subunit ribosomal RNA", at positions 28 to 507 of the family's 1533-position model. The record is from RNAcentral.
GACGAACGCUGGCGGCGUGCUUAACACAUGCAAGUCGAACGGAAAGGCCCUGCUUUUGUUGGGUGCUCGAGUGGCGAACGGGUGAGUAACACGUGAGUAACCUGCCCUUGACUUUGGGAUAACUUCAGGAAACUGGGGCUAAUACCGGAUAGGAGCUCCUGCUGCAUGGUGUUGGUUGGAAAGUUUCGGCGGUUGGGGAUGUACUCGCUGCUUAUCAGCUUGUUGGUGGGGUAGUGGCUUACCAAGGCUUUGACGGGUAGCCGGCAUGAGAGGGUGACCGGCCACAUUGGGACUGAGAUACGGCCCAGAAUGCAACGGGAGGCAGCAGUGGGGAAUAGUGAACAAUGGGCGGAAGCAUGAUGCAGAAACGCCGCGUGCGGGAUGACGGCCUUCGGGUUGUAAACAGAUUUAGCAUGUGACGAAGCGUGAGUGACGGUAAUGGGUAAAGAAGCACCGGCUAACUACGUG